GAUGAACGCUGGCGGCGUGCCUAAUACAUGCAAGUCGAGCGAACGGACGAGAAGCUGGCUUCUCUGAUGUUAGCGGCGGACGGGUGAGUAACACGUGGAUAACCUACCUAUAAGGCUGGGAUAACUUCGGGAAACCGGAGCUAAUACCGGAUAAUAUUUUGAACCGCAUGGUUCAAAAGAAAAAGACGGUCUUGCUGUCACUUAUAGAUGGAUCCGCGCUGCAUUAGCUAGUUGGUAAGGUAACGGCUUACCAAGGCAACGAUGCAUAGCCGACCUGAGAGGGUGGUCGGCCACCCUGGAACGGAGACACGGUCCAGACUCCUACGGGAGGCAGCAGUCGGGAAUCUUCCGCAAUGGGCGGAAGCCUGACGGAGCAGCGCCGCGCGAGUGAUGAAGGUCUUCGGAUCGUAAAGCUCUGUUAUUAGGGAAGAACAUAUGUGUAAGUAACUGUGCACAUCUUGACGGUACCUAAUCAGAAAGCCCCGGCUAACUACGUG
Molecule: ribosomal RNA, 497 nt
Filed under: uncultured bacterium
Lineage: Bacteria
Description: partial 16S ribosomal RNA
Rfam family: Bacterial small subunit ribosomal RNA
Source: RNAcentral